Molecule: ribosomal RNA, 854 nt
Filed under: Staphylococcus aureus
Lineage: Bacteria; Bacillati; Bacillota; Bacilli; Caryophanales; Staphylococcaceae
Description: bacterial SSU rRNA
Rfam family: Bacterial small subunit ribosomal RNA
Source: RNAcentral
UUUAUGGAGAGUUUGAUCCUGGCUCAGGAUGAACGCUGGCGGCGUGCCUAAUACAUGCAAGUCGAGCGAACGGACGAGAAGCUUGCUUCUCUGAUGUUAGCGGCGGACGGGUGAGUAACACGUGGAUAACCUACCUAUAAGACUGGGAUAACUUCGGGAAACCGGAGCUAAUACCGGAUAAUAUUUUGAACCGCAUGGUUCAAAAGUGAAAGACGGUCUUGCUGUCACUUAUAGAUGGAUCCGCGCUGCAUUAGCUAGUUGGUAAGGUAACGGCUUACCAAGGCAACGAUGCAUAGCCGACCUGAGAGGGUGAUCGGCCACACUGGAACUGAGACACGGUCCAGACUCCUACGGGAGGCAGCAGUAGGGAAUCUUCCGCAAUGGGCGAAAGCCUGACGGAGCAACGCCGCGUGAGUGAUGAAGGUCUUCGGAUCGUAAAACUCUGUUAUUAGGGAAGAACAUAUGUGUAAGUAACUGUGCACAUCUUGACGGUACCUAAUCAGAAAGCCACGGCUAACUACGUGCCAGCAGCCGCGGUAAUACGUAGGUGGCAAGCGUUAUCCGGAAUUAUUGGGCGUAAAGCGCGCGUAGGCGGUUUUUUAAGUCUGAUGUGAAAGCCCACGGCUCAACCGUGGAGGGUCAUUGGAAACUGGAAAACUUGAGUGCAGAAGAGGAAAGUGGAAUUCCAUGUGUAGCGGUGAAAUGCGCAGAGAUAUGGAGGAACACCAGUGGCGAAGGCGACUUUCUGGUCUGUAACUGACGCUGAUGUGCGAAAGCGUGGGGAUCAAACAGGAUUAGAUACCCUGGUAGUCCACGCCGUAAACGAUGAGUGCUAAGUGUUAGGGGGUUUCCGC